RNAcentral lists this ribosomal RNA (1110 nucleotides) under uncultured cyanobacterium. RNAcentral describes it as "bacterial SSU rRNA". It matches the Rfam family "Bacterial small subunit ribosomal RNA", at positions 389 to 1514 of the family's 1533-position model. The record is from RNAcentral. Lineage: Bacteria; Bacillati; Cyanobacteriota.
GAGCACGCCGCGUGAGGGACGAAGGCCUCUGGGCUGUAAACCUCUUUUCUCAAGGAAGAAGACAUGACGGUACUUGAGGAAUAAGCCACGGCUAAUUCCGUGCCAGCAGCCGCGGUAAUACGGGAGUGGCAAGCGUUAUCCGGAAUUAUUGGGCGUAAAGCGUCCGCAGGCGGCCUUGGAAGUCUGUUGUUAAAGCGUGGAGCUCAACUCCAUUUAAGCAAUGGAAACUACAAGGCUAGAGUGUGGUAGGGGCAGAGGGAAUUCCCGGUGUAGCGGUGAAAUGCGUAGAUAUCGGGAAGAACACCAGUGGCGAAGGCGCUCUGCUGGGCCAUAACUGACGCUCAUGGACGAAAGCCAGGGGAGCGAAAGGGAUUAGAUACCCCUGUAGUCCUGGCCGUAAACGAUGAACACUAGGUGUCGGGAGAAUUAACCCUUCCGGUGUCGUAGCCAACGCGUUAAGUGUUCCGCCUGGGGAGUACGCACGCAAGUGUGAAACUCAAAGGAAUUGACGGGGGCCCGCACAAGCGGUGGAGUAUGUGGUUUAAUUCGAUGCAACGCGAAGAACCUUACCAGGGUUUGACAUCCUGCGAAUCCCUUGGAAACGAGGGAGUGCCUUCGGGAACGCAGUGACAGGUGGUGCAUGGCUGUCGUCAGCUCGUGUCGUGAGAUGUUGGGUUAAGUCCCGCAACGAGCGCAACCCACGUCUUUAGUUGCCAGCAUUCAGUUGGGCACUCUAGAGAGACCGCCGGUGAUAAACCGGAGGAAGGUGUGGAUGACGUCAAGUCAUCAUGCCCCUUACAUCCUGGGCUACACACGUACUACAAUGCUACGGACAAAGGGCAGCAAACUCGCGAGAGCUAGCAAAUCCCAUAAACCGUGGCUCAGUUCAGAUCGUAGGCUGCAACUCGCCUACGUGAAGGAGGAAUCGCUAGUAAUCGCAGGUCAGCAUACUGCGGUGAAUACGUUCCCGGGCCUUGUACACACCGCCCGUCACACCAUGGAAGUUGGCCAUGCCCGAAGUCGUUACUCCAACCCGCAAGGGAGGAGGACGCCGAAGGUGGGGCUGAUGACUGGGGUGAAGUCGUAACAAGGUAGCCGUACCGGAAGGUG